UACGGGGGGGGCAAGCGUUGUUCGGAAUUACUGGGCGUAAAGGGCGCGUAGGCGGCCCGCUAAGUUAGAUGUGAAAACUCUGGGCUCAACCCAGAGCCUGCAUCUAAUACUGACGGGCUAGAGUUCUGGAGGGGGUAGCGGAAUUCCUGGUGUAGCGGUGAAAUGCGUAGAUAUCAGGAGGAACACCGGUGGCGAAGGCGGCUACCUGGACAGAGUCUGACGCUGAGGCGCGAAAGCUAGGGGAGCAAACAGG
This 253-nucleotide ribosomal RNA is filed under the name uncultured bacterium. RNAcentral's name for it is "partial 16S ribosomal RNA". It matches the Rfam family "Bacterial small subunit ribosomal RNA", at positions 524 to 776 of the family's 1533-position model. The record is from RNAcentral.